This 251-nucleotide ribosomal RNA is filed under the name uncultured prokaryote. RNAcentral describes it as "partial 16S rRNA". It matches the Rfam family "Bacterial small subunit ribosomal RNA", at positions 525 to 775 of the family's 1533-position model. The record is from RNAcentral.
ACGUAGGGUGCGAGCGUUAAUCGGAAUUACUGGGCGUAAAGCGUGCGCAGGCGGUUAUGUAAAACAGAAGUGAAAUCCCCGGGCUCAACCUGGGAACUGCAUUAGUGACUACAUAGCUGGAGUACGGCAGAGGGGGAUGGAAUUCCGCGUGUAGCAGUGAAAUGCGUAGAUAUGCGGAUGAACACCGAUGGCGAAGGCAAUCCCCUGGGCCUGUACUGACGCUCAUGCACGAAAGCGUGGGGAGCAAACAG